AUACGAAGGGGGCUAGCGUUGCUCGGAAUGAACUGGGCGUAAAGGGCGUGUAGGUCGGUUUACACAGUCAGAUGUGAAAUCCCCGGGCUUAACCUGGGAGCUGCAUUUGAUACGUGUAGACUAGAGUGUGAGAGAGGGUUGUGGAAUUCCCAGUGUAGAGGUGAAAUUCGUAGAUAUUGGGAAGAACACCGGUGGCGAAGGCGGCAACCUGGCUCAUGACUGACGCUGAGGCGCGAAAGCGUGGGGAGC
This 249-nucleotide ribosomal RNA is filed under the name uncultured bacterium. RNAcentral's name for it is "partial 16S ribosomal RNA". It matches the Rfam family "Bacterial small subunit ribosomal RNA", at positions 523 to 769 of the family's 1533-position model. The record is from RNAcentral.